This 377-nucleotide ribosomal RNA is filed under the name uncultured bacterium. RNAcentral's name for it is "bacterial SSU rRNA". It matches the Rfam family "Bacterial small subunit ribosomal RNA", at positions 521 to 896 of the family's 1533-position model. The record is from RNAcentral.
UAAAACGUAGGAGGCGAGCGUUAUCCGGAUUUACUGGGCGUAAAGCGGGUGCAGGCGGCUUUUCAAGUCGGAUGUAAAAUCUCCCGGCUUAACUGGGAGGGACCAUUCGAUACUGUUGGGCUAGAGUGCAGCAGGGGGAGAUGGAAUUCCCGGUGUAGUGGUGACAUGCGUAGAUAUCGGGAGGAACGCCAGUGGCGAAGGCGGUCUCCUGGGCUGUUACUGACGCUGAGGCCCGAAAGCGUGGGGAGCAAACAGGAUUAGAUACCCUGGUAGUCCACGCCGUAAACGAUGGACACUAGGUAUGGGGAGUAUCGACCCUCUCUGUGCCGAAGCUAACGCAUUAAGUGUCCCGCCUGGGAACUACGGCCGCAAGGCUA